AAGGAGUCCAAUAUGUGGAUCCAGUGAUUGGUGGGCAGCGCAGAACUUGCUGGUGCUUUUCACACAUAGGACAUCCUGGUUUGAUGCCAAGGGAUCUGCAGCUGAUGGAUACUUUCAAGGUAUGUGAUGUAGUGAUAGUGAGGAAAUAUCUGGACUCUGCUAUUUGCUAAGAGAGAAUUGCACAAGAGUCUUAAAAAUCAUUUCUCUAAAUGCAACAUUGGAAAACCAGAACUCAUGCCUGACCUCAUUCGACAGCUGCUAUGGCCCUUAUAAAGGGAUUAACAACCUGGACAUAAAACAAAGGUUAUUGCCAGUCAUUAUGGUGUGAUACUGCUCAACACAAUUAGGACACAUCACAAGUCUACAUGGAGCUAUGCCUGAGUGGAGGAAUACAGAGAAAAAUGGUGAUUUACCAAUCUCUGUGAAGAAGCCCUGAUGCUGUGUUUAAGGGGAAGCUACAGAAGGAGAGAAACUGGAGGCCACUAAUACUGCAGUGUGAAACCAUGGCAGAAAACAUCUACCUGACACCAAAAAUGUCCAUCACUUUUCCCCCCCAAAAAACCCCAACCCAGAAUGUAUGCUUCCUUUUUUUGGUACUAUGUACAUUAUCUAUCUGUCCUCAUGGGAUCCUUUAGGUCUGCAAAAUGUGUCUGCAUGAUGCAGGGAUGAUCAAUAAGGAAAGCUGAGUCCUGACCCUGGCAGGGUUUCUGACUCUGAACAUCUCAGACGACGCCUCCCAGCCCAGACGAGAUCUGCUUCUGUGCUGAGUAAGGAGGAGCUUUGGUAGCUUGAGCCUCCUCACCAGGAUUUAGCAACUUUUACUCUUCAGAGACACAUGCAAAGAGACAAAACGAUGAUUAUACUGCAUGAUAAGUAUAAAGAAAUGAUACCAUUGUAAUAUUACUGGUUAUUUUUCAUAGUAAUUUAGAGGUGAGCCCAUGUGUUUCAAUGAUGAAAGAAUGGGUUAACUUAUAAUAUGCUAAGUUCUUUUCAUUAGUUGAUUAAUUUUUCACUUAAAUUCUAAAAAAGUCAUUAUUUCAUGUUUAAGCUUUCACUUCCACCUCCUUUUGUAGUGCUUUUCUUAAUUACCUGCAGUAAUUUGCAUCAGCAAGAAACUAAGAAUGCUUUGCAUGUCUUUAGUGUCUUCCCUCCUCUUUAGCUAUUGAUGUAGCUGCACAGAGAGAGCUCAGCACUGCAGCAUCUGGCAUUUUGAAUCACUAUUAUAAACAUUAAUUAAAUAAACCUCUCGAUA
This is a long non-coding RNA of Pezoporus occidentalis (night parrot), 1252 nucleotides long. RefSeq lists it as uncharacterized. NCBI's taxonomy places the organism in Eukaryota, Metazoa, Chordata, Aves, Psittaciformes, Psittacidae. The transcript is spliced from 2 exons. The record is from RefSeq and is a predicted model, not a curated record.